UUUCUGUCUGCCAGAACACAAAGCAGAAUUAAUUUAAGCUACUGUACAGGUUAAUACAUCCUUUAAGGUGAGAGAUACUGUAUAAAUAUAGUGGCACCAACAUCCUAGGCAAUAUUUUAGUAUGAAAUUUCGUCUGACCUUAUUAAUUUUACUUGGAGAAAAACAUAGAGGAAAUAAAAGAAAGAACACAUCAUGUCAGGUUGUCCAUUUAUGAUCACAGAAGCCCUGCUCUUGUCAUCCAUUGCUGGUUGAUGCUGGUGCUGGUGAGAAGAACUGAGACAGUGAGAGAGGCACAAGAUCACUUUACAGGGGAAAGGGAAAUCCACUUGCACCAGGUGGGAGCCUGCCCCUUUGCUUUGAACUUCAUCUGCUGGUGUCUGGUGAGGCUCCUGUUUGUGGGAACACUGUCCCUUGGAGCAGGCUUCUUCUGCUGCAGCAGCUGCUGCCCACCACAUCUCUAUGGUCACCUCAGAUUAAUAUUUUUCCACUUAUCACAUAGGUGGAGCUGUUGUCUCUGGUACGUGGAAUUCUGCAUUUCUGGGGAAUGGCAAGAGGCAGAAGGUGUCACUCUGCCUCUGAGGGGGCAGUGGCAGUGUGCUCUUGCUCUCAGGCUUUAA
Molecule: long non-coding RNA, 617 nt
Filed under: Cyanistes caeruleus (blue tit)
Lineage: Eukaryota; Metazoa; Chordata; Aves; Passeriformes; Paridae
Description: lncRNA (ENSCCEG00000008772.1)
Source: RNAcentral